Molecule: ribosomal RNA, 84 nt
Filed under: Crataegus macracantha
Lineage: Eukaryota; Viridiplantae; Streptophyta; Magnoliopsida; Rosales; Rosaceae
Description: partial 5.8S ribosomal RNA
Rfam family: 5.8S ribosomal RNA
About the family: 5.8S ribosomal RNA (5.8S rRNA) is a component of the large subunit of the eukaryotic ribosome. It is transcribed by RNA polymerase I as part of the 45S precursor that also contains 18S and 28S rRNA. Functionally, it is thought that 5.8S rRNA may be involved in ribosome translocation.
Source: RNAcentral
UGCAGAAUCCCGUGAACCAUCUAGUCUUUGAACGCAAGUUGCGCCCGAAGCCUUUAGGCCGAGGGCACGCCUGCCUGGGCGUCA